UCGAGGGGUAACAGGGAGAAGCUUGCUUUUCCGCUGACGACCGGCGCACGGGUGCGUAACGCGUAUACAAUCUGCCUUAUACUGGGGUAUAGCCUUUAGAAAUGAAGAUUAAUCCCCCAUAGUCUCUUAGAGUGGCAUCAUUUUAGGAGUAAAGGUUACGGUAUAAGAUGAGUAUGCGUUCUAUUAGUUUGUUGGUGAGGUAACGGCUCACCAAGGCUACGAUAGAUAGGGGCCCUGAGAGGGGGAUCCCCCACACUGGUACUGAGACACGGACCAGACUCCUACGGGAGGCAGCAGUGAGGAAUAUUGGACAAUGGAGGCAACUCUGAUCCAGCCAUGCCGCGUGCAGGAAGACUGCCCUAUGGGUUGUAAACUGCUUUUAUAUAGGAAGAAACCUACUUACGUGUAAGUAGCUGACGGUACUAUAAGAAUAAGGAUCGGCUAACUCCGUGCCAGCAGCCGCGGUAAUACGGAGGAUCCAAGCGUUAUCCGGAAUCAUUGGGUUUAAAGGGUCCGUAGGUGGAUAAUUAAGUCAGAGGUGAAAUCUUGCAGCUCAACUGUAAAAUUGCCUUUGAUACUGGUUAUCUUGAGUUAUUAUGAAGUAGUUAGAAUAUGUAGUGUAGCGGUGAAAUGCAUAGAUAUUACAUAGAAUACCAAUUGCGAAGGCAGAUUACUAAUAAUCAACUGACACUGAUGGACGAAAGCGUGGGUAGCGAACAGGAUUAGAU
This 728-nucleotide ribosomal RNA is filed under the name uncultured bacterium. Its description in RNAcentral is "bacterial SSU rRNA". It matches the Rfam family "Bacterial small subunit ribosomal RNA", at positions 62 to 783 of the family's 1533-position model. The record is from RNAcentral.